This 427-nucleotide ribosomal RNA is filed under the name uncultured Aeromonas sp. RNAcentral's name for it is "partial 16S ribosomal RNA". It matches the Rfam family "Bacterial small subunit ribosomal RNA", at positions 355 to 774 of the family's 1533-position model. Lineage: Bacteria; Pseudomonadati; Pseudomonadota; Gammaproteobacteria; Aeromonadales; Aeromonadaceae. The record is from RNAcentral.
UGGGGAAUAUUGCACAAUGGGGGAAACCCUGAUGCAGCCAUGCCGCGUGUGUGAAGAAGGCCUUCGGGUUGUAAAGCACUUUCAGUCGGGAGGAAAGGUGGCUAGCUAAUAUCUAGUUGCUGUGACGUUACUGACAGAAGAAGCACCGGCUAACUCCGUGCCAGCAGCCGCGGUAAUACGGAGGGUGCAAGCGUUAAUCGGAAUUACUGGGCGUAAAGCGCACGCAGGCGGCUUGUUAAGUCAGAUGUGAAAGCCCCGGGCUCAACCUGGGAACUGCAUUUGAAACUGACAAGCUAGAGUCUUGUAGAGGGGGGUAGAAUUCCAGGUGUAGCGGUGAAAUGCGUAGAGAUCUGGAGGAAUACCGGUGGCGAAGGCGGCCCCCUGGACAGAGACUGACGCUCAGGUGCGAAAGCGUGGGGAGCAAACA